AUUGAACGCUGGCGGCAUGCCUUACACAUGCAAGUCGAACGGUAACAGGUCUUCGGGUGCUGACGAGUGGCGAACGGGUGAGUAAUACAUCGGAACGUGCCUAGUAGUGGGGGAUAACUACUCGAAAGAGUGGCUAAUACCGCAUGAGAUCUGCGGAUGAAAGCAGGGGAUCGCAAGACCUUGUGCUACUAGAGCGGCCGAUGGCAGAUUAGGUAGUUGGUGGGAUAAAAGCUUACCAAGCCGACGAUCUGUAGCUGGUCUGAGAGGACGAUCAGCCACACUGGGACUGAGAAACGGCCCAGACUCCUACGGGAGGCAGCAGUGGGGAAUUUUGGACAAUGGGCGCAAGCCUGAUCCAGCAAUGCCGCGUGCAGGAUGAAGGCCUUCGGGUUGUAAACUGCUUUUGUACGGAACGAAAAGCCCCGGGUUAAUACCCUGGGGUCAUGACGGUACCGUAAGAAUAAGCACCGGCUAACUACGUGCCAGCCGCCGCCGUAA
This 498-nucleotide ribosomal RNA is filed under the name uncultured bacterium. Its description in RNAcentral is "partial 16S ribosomal RNA". It matches the Rfam family "Bacterial small subunit ribosomal RNA", at positions 30 to 523 of the family's 1533-position model. The record is from RNAcentral.